Glossina fuscipes is the source of this 3186-nucleotide long non-coding RNA. RefSeq lists it as uncharacterized. The transcript has 2 exons. The record is from RefSeq and is a predicted model, not a curated record. NCBI's taxonomy places the organism in Eukaryota, Metazoa, Arthropoda, Insecta, Diptera, Glossinidae.
AAUUAUCUCCAUUAAUAUUAAAUUAUCUCAUAAAAGAGAUCAAAUUUUAAGAAAAUGCUUAGUUGAAGUAAAACGAGUAAGCAAAUUACAUUCGGCUGCGACCGAAUCAUUCACACUCAACACCGUCAUCCUAAAAACGAUUGAAGGAUUGGAUACGAAGAACAUAAAUUUGCACAUUUCAUUAUAUUGGGUGGGCGUGGCUGAUUUUUAUUAUUCGUGUAGAAUGGAAGCAAAGUUGUUCUAAGUUUACGUUGUACAAAACUAUGGGCAUUAAAGGCGUACUCUUUGAGCUCUUUGCGUCAUUUACGAACCCUUUUGCUAAUUUGUAGCCAAUACAUUCGUUUUUGUGGACGGGAGAAUGUGCACAGAUAUGCACAGUGCAUUGAUAUGCACAGGCAGACAGACGCACAUGCGAUUUAAAUCGACCAAGAUUUUUGAAGUCUCUGAAAUUUGCUUCUGGGCGUUGCAAACGUUUCGAAGAAAUGAAUAUACCCUUCAUUCUUCGUUGACGGGUGUAAAAAAUGGGAAAAAGACGAAUGUUUUUCUUUUGGCUUUUUUUUUGGAAAAUCUCAAAUUUCUUCUUGUCUUAAGACAACAACGACUACAAUAGCAAUAAAAACAAAUAAAACUAAUAAUGAGGCUGUUGCUUCACCUGUCCACAGGUUAGGUUAACAAGGUUUUCUACCCGUUUGCUUAUAUAUGUUUUGCGAUGGAGAGACGAAGAAACAUAUAAGAUUUUGUCGCAAGCAUAAGCAAACAGCAGGUAACGCUAAGAAAAUAAUAUGAUGAUGCCAUAAAACAUUUCGCUCUGAUAAGCUGCAAGGGAAAGAGAAGAUUUCUUAAGAAACAUGAUUUUUUGUUUUUUCUUUUUUUUUUGAUGAUAGAUGAAAAUUUUGAAAAAGAAAAGAAGAAAUCCUUUGAAAAUUCUGCCAGCCAGUUGAGCAGCGUAACUAACUAAAGUGUACGACAGAGAUCGCAGUGAGCCCAAUUUCUCAAAAACAUCCCGCUGUGUAUGGCGUGAAAUUCAAGAGGUUUCCAAUAUGAUCUUAUAAUUCGUUUUCCACUUGUGGCGAUGUUUUUAACAGAAAAUUCACACACAUUGCUACCAAGCUCGCUUAGUAAAAAGAAGAAAAGAAAAGCAACCACUUGAACUGCACAAAAGAGCCUUUAAGCUAUUGUAACGCCUUUCCACAAAAAAAAGCAAAAAAAAGAAGAAGAAAAAUGUGAAGAAAAAAAGGAAGGAAAACUAUUUGAAAUUAUUAAAAAAUUUAUGAAGAAUGAGCUGCAUCCAGUGAAACAAGGAAAAAUCAACUGAAACGGCGGAGGAGGUGGCAAUAGUGGUGUUCGCUAUACUAAGGAAAAUUCAAUAAAUGACUUUGCAACAUGUGAUGCUGUUUUUCCAUUGCGGCUAUUGUCGUUGCUGCUUGUUAAGAGGUAAAAAAACUUUUAUAAAUAAUUUUCAUAAUUUUCUCAUUUUUUAAAUUAAGAAAAACGCAAACGAUAACUAGCUUGAACUGCGCUCUUGAGUUGGGAAAACUCUUGAAAUACACGACAGGCAAAAACAGGACCCUAAACCACUUCGCUUAAUACGAUUGUCGAUCAUAUGACGAUUUUUCAAAACCAAACCCCUUAUUAAAAGUGGUCAGAAAAGCUUCUAUUCAAACAAUUCUCUAUGGUGUGGGUUUUUUGGCCAAAACACGGAGAGAGAGACUGGCUUAAAUAAUAUAAUAUAAGUAUAAUAAUAAAAUGUGGCUCUAUCUUAAGUCCUUCUGGAUGUUUCAUACACCCCCACAAGUUAAUAUGCCCCUUUGCAGUAGCAGAAUAAAAUGAAUUAUUUUUCUUUUAUAAGGAAAAUUCCAACUAUUUAAUUGAAACAACAAAAAUCAAUUAAUUAUUCUUUUAGUAAAUUACAACAAACGAAAAAGUAAACCGCCAAGUAUACUAUGUUAUUUUGGAAAUCGAUUCUUACAAAGUGGAAACAACAUAGCUUAUCCACACCUUGCACCAUAACUGGUGCGGGGUGCCAAGAUACUGGCAUCUAUGCAUUGAGGUGGCUCAAAACUUCCAUAUGUUAAUAACACUUAUGCUAAAACCUGUUAAGAUUACGUAAUAAGGUUAUGCUAAUUAUUAGUGCAGUUAUCAUUAACAUAUGACUAUCAGAUAAUGUAAUUAAUUUUUUAAACGUCAUAGUGGUUUUUUUUUUUUUUUUAUUCCCAUCAAAAUUCACAUUUACGUUCAGUACUAUUUGGCAAAUCAUCGUUGGAAAAUUUUGCAGUUAUGUAGCAUAUGGAAGUUAAUAAAGUUUUCACGUUCCGCGCAUGCGAGAUGAAAGUUACCUUGAAUAAAUGGCUUCAUAGAUAAAUAAAGUUGUCGCAUCUACAGUAGAGGCAUGGGAGCUGGUUUAUGGCGCUCUCGACACCUUAGCUAUGGGUUAUUGUGUCGAUGUAACGACUAGGGAGUUUAAAGCGACCGUUAACGUAUGUACUUUCAUUGCUAUCGAAAGAAAAGCCUUGCAAUGCUAAAAUUCCUAUCGAGUAACAUAUUUCAAUUACAAUCGAGUUUUCUUGAUAUCGAGAAGCACACACUACUCCCGUUUCGUGAAACACGCCUACAUUCAACAAGAUGAAGAGUUUAAUAUGAUUUAUGAUUUGUAGGUGUUGUAGGAGAUCGCUAUAGAAGCAUGAUUGAGUUAGAAAUUAAAUAAAUUUUCUCUCUCUCUCUCUCUCUCUCUCUCUCUCUUUCUCUCUCUCUCUCUCUCUCUCUCGCUCGCCUUCUUUGUUCGGGUAAAGUGCCGUUUCGGGAAGAUAUUGGCAAGACGCAGUACGUCUCGUGCCACUAUCAAUUUACUGACCACAAAAUUGAUGCAAUGCUUUCCCAUCAAUCAUUUUUCUCUAGGAUGAAAUUGAAUUAUUGAUUUAGUGCUAGAAACCACAACAACCACUAAGCCUAACUGAUCACUACUAUAUAUCCGCAUGAAUAGUCUAGUAAGUAAGAAUCGUGAUCAUCAAGUCAAUGUUCGCGGCUUCAAAUCUUGUAUGCGUUAAAGUUGCACUGUGAUCGUAGCUGUACGCAGUAGGCGGUCUCUCUUUUUCUUUCCUCAUUUUUUUCUGACUCCAUACCAAAUUCCAUGAAAAUAUCUCAUAAAUCGCUAUCUAUAGGUUGAACUUAAGAAAAUAAAGCGGACAG